GGCCCAAGAGCAAGUUAGCCUUGGCCGUUUAUCGGUUUCCUGUGCUGUAUACCUACUAUAAUGGAAUUCGAACGUGCAAUAUUUUGUUAUUCGCCUUGUGCUGUCCCAUUGGUUGUCCCUUUGGGGUGCGGUGUCGGGUGAACCUCGAAGCGAUCUUCAUGUUCUUCGUCACCCACGAAAUGUGUUGUCGGCGCGGCCCAUGAAGAUUGCUUGAGCUCUCGGAUGCGGAAUAUGCAGAGGGUAGUAGGCCUACAGCCUCUCUUUGCCCGAAUUAAGCGUUUAUUCGCUCAUUACCGAACGACGGCCGGCGGUGCUUUGAUGUGUUGGAGCCCUCAGGUUUUGGC
This 344-nucleotide unclassified non-coding RNA is filed under the name Erithalis fruticosa. RNAcentral's name for it is "partial external transcribed spacer". Lineage: Eukaryota; Viridiplantae; Streptophyta; Magnoliopsida; Gentianales; Rubiaceae. The record is from RNAcentral.